RNAcentral lists this ribosomal RNA (484 nucleotides) under uncultured bacterium. RNAcentral describes it as "bacterial SSU rRNA". It matches the Rfam family "Bacterial small subunit ribosomal RNA", at positions 30 to 507 of the family's 1533-position model. The record is from RNAcentral.
AUUGAACGCUGGCGGAAUGCUUUACACAUGCAAGUCGAACGGCAGCACGGACUUCGGUCUGGUGGCGAGUGGCGAACGGGUGAGUAAUGUAUCGGAACGUGCCCAGUCGUGGGGGAUAACGUAGUGAAAAUUACGCUAAUACCGCAUACGAUCUAUGGAUGAAAGCGGGGGAUCGCAAGACCUCGCGCGAUUGGAGCGGCCGAUAUCAGAUUAGGUAGUUGGUGGGGUAAAGGCCCACCAAGCCAACGAUCUGUAGCUGGUCUGAGAGGACGACCAGCCACACUGGAACUGAGACACGGUCCAGACUCCUACGGGAGGCAGCAGUGGGGAAUUUUGGACAAUGGGCGCAAGCCUGAUCCAGCCAUUCCACGUGCAGGAUGAAGGCCCUCGGGUUGUAAACUGCUUUUGUACAGAACGAAAAGGUUUCUACUAAUACUAGGAGCUCAUGACGGUACUGUAAGAAUAAGCACCGGCUAACUACGUG